This is a non-coding RNA of Pelobates cultripes (western spadefoot toad), 202 nucleotides long. The record is from the annotation of a GenBank genome assembly. Lineage: Eukaryota; Metazoa; Chordata; Amphibia; Anura; Pelobatidae.
AUGAUCAGUGCACACAGGGAUUACCCUGAUUUCCAUAGUCUAAGAACAUCAGCAAAAUUAGUGAUUUAAUUGAUUAGUCUCUUCCAUAUAGGUGCAUAUAUAUGAUGGGUAGGUUGAAGAAAUUCUCUAAUGGCUCAUCACUUAUUUCCACAUUUUGGUUUUCACUUCGCAACUUCCAAAAAAAAACCAUAAAACAUUUCGC